RNAcentral lists this non-coding RNA (444 nucleotides) under Pongo abelii (Sumatran orangutan). The record is from RNAcentral. Lineage: Eukaryota; Metazoa; Chordata; Mammalia; Primates; Hominidae.
GCCAAGUCCUGGACAGUCUUUAGGCCAUCUUGGAAUUACAUUUGGAAAGGUGGUUGUUAAACAUUUCCCAGCACACACCUGGAUCUGCAUCUGCUGUGUCAGUUGAACCACUCACUGGUUCUGUGACCUCAGUUCUUUGUAGACUCUGGAAUGGAGCUGGAAGCUGCAUCUUCAGCACACUAACGCAGGAACAGAAAACCAAACACUGCCUGUUCCCGCUUAGAAGUGGGAGCUGAACGAGGAGAACACAUGGACAUAUGAAGGGGAACAACACACUCUGGGGCCUGUGAGGUGCAGGGAGAGCAUCAAGAAGAACAGCUAAUGGGUGCUGGGCUUAAUACCUGGGUGAUGGGUUGAUGUGUGCGGCAAACCACCAUGGCACACAUUUACCUAUGUAACAAACCUGGACAUCCUGCACAUGUACCCCGGAACUUAAAAAUAAAA